Molecule: long non-coding RNA, 498 nt
Filed under: Physcomitrium patens
Lineage: Eukaryota; Viridiplantae; Streptophyta; Bryopsida; Funariales; Funariaceae
Description: long non-coding RNA (PPAT_LNC013586)
Source: RNAcentral
UUAGAAGUGAUCAUGGAAAUAUCAAGUAUUGAAUCUUAGUUAUUUAAUUUUGCAAUGCUUUUGUUUAAGAAAAAAGUUAAAAUAAUGAUAUGUUGGAUUUGAUAUUAGAAAUGAUCAUGGAAAUAUCAAGUAUUGAAUCUUAGUUAUUUGAUUUUGCAAUGCUUUUGUUUUAGAAAAAAGUUAAAAUAAUGAUAUGUUGGAUUUGAUAUUAGAAGUGAUCAUGGAAUUAUCAAGUAUUGAAUCUUAGUUAUUUGAUUUUGCAAUGCUUUUGUUUUAGAAAAAAAUUAAAAUAAUGAUAUGUUGGAUUUGAUAUUAGAAGUGAUCAUGGAAAUAUCAAGUAUUGAAUCUUAGUUAUUUGAUUUUGCAAUGCUUUUGUUUUAGAAAAAAGUUAAAAUAAUGAUAUGUUGGAUUUGAUAUUAGAAGUGAUCAUAGAAAUAUCAAGUAUUGAAUCUUAGGUAUUUGAUUUUGCAAUGCUUUUGUUUAAGAAAAAAGUUAAAA